GGGGGAGUAGCUCAGUGGUUAGAGCAGUCGGCUCAUAACCGAUUGGUCGAAGGUUCAAUUCCUUCCUCCCCCACCA
RNAcentral lists this transfer RNA (76 nucleotides) under bacterium. RNAcentral's name for it is "tRNA-Ile". It matches the Rfam family "tRNA". From Rfam's summary of the family: Transfer RNA (tRNA) molecules are approximately 80 nucleotides in length. Their secondary structure includes four short double-helical elements and three loops (D, anti-codon, and T loops). Further hydrogen bonds mediate the characteristic L-shaped molecular structure. tRNAs have two regions of fundamental functional importance: the anti-codon, which is responsible for specific mRNA codon recognition, and the 3' end, to which the tRNAs corresponding amino acid is attached (by aminoacyl-tRNA synthetases). tRNAs cope with the degeneracy of the genetic code in two manners: having more than one tRNA (with a specific anti-codon) for a particular amino acid; and 'wobble' base-pairing, i.e. permitting non-standard base-pairing at the 3rd anti-codon position. RNAcentral also lists the same sequence under 2 other names. The record is from RNAcentral.